This 439-nucleotide ribosomal RNA is filed under the name uncultured bacterium. Its description in RNAcentral is "partial 16S ribosomal RNA". It matches the Rfam family "Bacterial small subunit ribosomal RNA", at positions 339 to 795 of the family's 1533-position model. The record is from RNAcentral.
CUACGGGUGGCUGCAGUGGGGAAUAUUGCACAAUGGACGAAAGUCUGAUGCAGCAACGCCGCGUGGAGGAUGACACAUUUCGGUGCGUAAACUCCUUUUAUAUAGGAAGAUAAUGACGGUACUAUAUGAAUAAGCGCCGGCUAACUCCGUGCCAGCAGCCGCGGUAAUACGGAGGGCGCAAGCGUUACUCGGAAUCACUGGGCGUAAAGAGCGUGUAGGCGGAUAGAUAAGUCAGGAGUGAAAUCCUAUGGCUCAACCAUAGAACUGCUCUUGAAACUGUCUAUCUAGAAUAUGGGAGAGGUAGAUGGAAUUUCUGGUGUAGGGGUAAAAUCCGUAGAGAUCAGAAGGAAUACCGAUUGCGAAGGCGAUCUACUAGAACAUUAUUGACGCUGAGACGCGAAAGCGUGGGGAGCAAACAGGAUUAGAUACCCGGGUAGUC